GAGCACGAGAGCUGGUACUGUGCCAGAAA
This 29-nucleotide non-coding RNA is filed under the name Bombyx mori (domestic silkworm). Lineage: Eukaryota; Metazoa; Arthropoda; Insecta; Lepidoptera; Bombycidae. The record is from RNAcentral.